Molecule: ribosomal RNA, 319 nt
Filed under: uncultured Pseudomonadota bacterium
Lineage: Bacteria; Pseudomonadati; Pseudomonadota
Description: bacterial SSU rRNA
Rfam family: Bacterial small subunit ribosomal RNA
Source: RNAcentral
AUUGAACGCUGGCGGCAUGCCUUACACAUGCAAGUCGAACGGUAACGCGGGGUAACCUGGCGACGAGUGGCGAACGGGUGAGUAAUGCAUCGGAACGUGCCCAGUAGUGGGGGAUAGCCCGGCGAAAGCCGGAUUAAUACCGCAUACGACCUACGGGUGAAAGCGGGGGAUCGCAAGACCUCGCGCUAUUGGAGCGGCCGAUGUCAGAUUAGGUAGUUGGUGAGGUAAAGGCUCACCAAGGCGACGAUCUGUAGCGGGUCUGAGAGGAUGAUCCGCCACACUGGAACUGAGACACGGUCCAGACACCUACGGGUGGCAG